UACGGGGGGAGCAAGCGUUGUUCGGAUUUACUGGGCGUAAAGGGCGCGUAGGCGGCCAGCACAAGUCAGUUGUGAAAUCUCCGGGCUUAACUCGGAAAGGUCAACUGAUACUGUGCGGCUAGAGUGCGGAAGGGGCAACUGGAAUUCUCGGUGUAGCGGUGAAAUGCGUAGAUAUCGAGAGGAACACCUGCGGCGAAGGCGGGUUGCUGGGCUGACACUGACGCUGAUGCGCGAAAGCCAGGGGAGCGAACGGG
Molecule: ribosomal RNA, 254 nt
Filed under: uncultured bacterium
Lineage: Bacteria
Description: partial 16S ribosomal RNA
Rfam family: Bacterial small subunit ribosomal RNA
Source: RNAcentral